Molecule: ribosomal RNA, 865 nt
Filed under: uncultured bacterium
Lineage: Bacteria
Description: SSU rRNA
Rfam family: Bacterial small subunit ribosomal RNA
Source: RNAcentral
UACAGAGGUGGCGAGCGUUGUUCGGAUUUACUGGGCGUGAAGGGUGCGUAGGCGGCUCCGUAUGUCGGAUGUGAAAUCCCACUGCUCAGCGGUGGAACGGCGUCCGAAACCGCGGGGCUAGGGUGCAGGAAGGGAGAGCGGAAUUCUUGGUGUAGCGGUGAAAUGCGUUGAUAUCAAGAAGAACACCGGUGGCGAAGGCGGCUCUCUGGAAUGCAACUGACGCUGAGGCACGAAAGCUGGGGGAGCAAACAGGAUUAGAUACCCUGGUAGUCCCAGCCGUAAACGGUGCGCACUUGGUGUAGGGAGUAUUGACCCUCCCUGUGCCGGAGCUAACGCGUUAAGUGCGCCGCCUGGGGAGUACGGCCGCAAGGCUAAAACUCAAAGAAAUUGACGGGGGCCCGCACAAGCGGAGGAGCAUGUGGCUCAAUUCGAUGCAACGCGAAGAACCUUACCAGGGCUUGACAUGCAGCUGCACGUCCGCCGAAAGGUGGAAAGCCUUCGAGGGUGCUGCACAGGUGCUGCAUGGCUGUCGUCAGUUCGUGCCGUGAGGUGUUGGGUUAAGUCCCGCAACGAACGCAACCCCUAUGUUUAGUUGCCACCGUCCGUGAUGAGCGGAUGAGCACUCUAAACAGACUGCCCGUACAAGCGGGAGGAAGGUGGGGAUGACGUCAAGUCAGUAUGGCCCUUACGUCCUGGGCUGCACACGUGCUACAAUGGCCGGUACAGAGGGAUGCAAGGCCGCGAGGUGGAGCAAAUCCCGAAAACCGGCCUCAGUUCGGAUUGAAGUCUGCAACUCGACUUCAUGAAGCUGGAUUCGCUAGUAACGGCGCAUCAGCUACGGCGCCGUGAAUACGUUCCCGGGCCU